CGGUAAUUCCAGCUCCAAUAGCGUAUACUAAAGUUGUUGCGGUUAAAAAGCUCGUAGUUGGAUUUCUGCGGGGACGGAGCGGCCGGACGCAACUUGCGUCUCGAGCUAGCGCUUUCCCCGCAUCCUGCCGCGAACCGUGCUACCAUUAGUUUGGUGGCGCUGGGGAUCGGCUCGAUUACUUUGAGAAAAAUAGAGUGUUCAAAGCAGGCCACACGCCUUGAAUAAGUUAGCAUGGAAUAAUGACUAAGGACUUUGGUUCUUUUCGUUGGUGUUCGGGACUGAAGUAAUGAUUGAUAGGGACAGUUGGGGCGGUCCGUAUUCCAAAGCGAGAGGUGAAAUUCUUAGACCUUCGGAAGACGAACAGCUGCGAAAGCGUUCCGCAAGGAUGUUCCCUUUGAUCAAGAACGAAAGUUGGGGGAUCGAAGACGAUCAGAUACCGUCGUAGUCUCAACUAUAAACUAUACCAGCUAGGGAUCGGCCAACGUUUAAUUAUUCGACUUGGUCGGCACCUUAUGAGAAAUCAAAGCAUCUGGGUUCCGGGGGGAGUAUGGUCGCAAGGCUGAAACUUAAAGGAAUUGACGGAAGGGCACCACCAGGCGUGGAGCCUGUGGCUUAAUUUGACUCAACACGGGAAAACUUACCAGGUCCAGACAUAGGAAGGAUUGACAGAUUGAUAGCUCUUUCUUGAUUCUGUGGGUGGUGGUGCAUGGCCGUUUUUAGUCGGUGAAGUGAUUUGUCUGCUUAAUUGCGUUAACGGACGAGACCCCAGCCUGCUAAAUAGCGCGGCCGAGCUUUGCUCGGUACGAGCUUCUUAGAGGGACCAUGAUGCGCGAUAGCACAAGGAAGUUUGGGGCAACAACAGGUCUGUGAUGCCCUUAGAUGUUCUGGGCCGCACACGGGCUACACUGGCGCCUGCAACGAGCAUAUCAGCUGGCCCGAGAGGGUCUUGGCUAAUCUUUGGAACCGGCGCCGUGCUUGGGAUUGACCAUUGCAAUUGUUGGUCAUGCAACGAGGAAUGCCUUGUAAACGCGAGUCAUCAGCUCGCAUUGAAUACGUCCCUGCCCUUUGUACACACCGCCCGUCGCUCCUACCGAUGAAUGUUCCGAUGAAAUUUUCGGAGAGCGCCGGAGAACGGGGCUCUGCCCUGCAGAACUGGAGGCUCAAAGUCACUUAAAUCUGAACAUUUCGAGGAAGGAGAAGUCGUAACAAGGUAGCCG
RNAcentral lists this ribosomal RNA (1217 nucleotides) under uncultured Rhizaria. RNAcentral describes it as "SSU rRNA". It matches the Rfam family "Eukaryotic small subunit ribosomal RNA", at positions 577 to 1805 of the family's 1831-position model. The record is from RNAcentral.